CCUGAGACUACAGCCACAGCAGCAGUAGCUCACCACACACUUGUGUUCCGUCAUUCUGCAAGCAGCAAGAGCCCAAUGAGAAAUCUUGCAACCCCUCAGAAUCAUCUCGUGACCCCGAGUUUGGCUUCGUUUAAUCCGUGCCCCCUGUCCACCCAGCAGGGUAGUACCGGGUGUCAGACGGGGAAUGUGUCGGUUUCAGUCGGUCGAGGUUACUGGGUGGUGAUCGCGAGUCUAUCGCGUGGUUAGACCGUGGUGAAACACACACACACCACCUCGUUCUGUGAGGGAGCAGCAACAUGGACUGCACUCAACUAAUAUGAACAGACUGGGUCAGGAAGACUGAGCUUGCAGCGUACUCAGUGACCUGCAAAAGUCUGGAGGAGAGGCGAAGGAAGCCGAAGCACCAAGGCAGCAAGGCGGGAAGUAGGGGGAGAGGGAGAGGGGCUAAAGGAGGAGCUCUACUGUCACCCUCAACCGCCUCGGGUUACAAAAGGAGUGCGUCUUACAAAUUCACAGACAAGUAAGUGUUGAGGAUAGUUGUGAGUUGUGACGUUACGCCGGAAUUUUCUUGAAGACUUUAAUACCCAACUACCUCCCAAGGCACUUAAAAUAUAGCGCAUGGCUUUCAUGUAUCAUUUUCCACCUGUCGCCCUCUUUCUUCUGUAGCAAGUUAUCUCACCACUUGUUAUCAAUCCUCACUUGCUGCUAUCUUUGCUCCUAUAUAUUGAUCUCUUACCUAGUCGUUUGAUUUCAGAAAUUUACGAGGCGGCGUGGGUGCCUGGGGAAACCUGGAGAAAGUAAACCGUGAAAAAAAAAAUGUCGCAUUACUGGCCCCGUGUCCCGGAGUAAUGUGUUCUUACCUACCACAGGCUCAAGGACCAAUGUGACGGAGAUGAGCACCGAAGCCACACGCAGCUAUAACUAUCGCCCGUCAAUCAGUAGCACAGAGAACAACAGCACCGGCAACAACAACAACAGCAAAAGAACAAGCAAGAUCCACACAUCAACCGCAACAUCACCACCAGUCAUCUAUAAAGGACGUUGGCAGGAGCUGCAGUAGCAGAAAGCAGGAUUAUAGUUGAACCAUUGUUUUCCUCUCACUGCAAGUACCAAAGGAUCCCAUCAGUGGGAACAAGUGAGUAUAUUUCACAAUAUUGUAUAUUAUUUUGUAUAUCAU
Long non-coding RNA from Eriocheir sinensis (Chinese mitten crab), 1177 nucleotides. RefSeq lists it as uncharacterized. The transcript is spliced from 4 exons. The record is from RefSeq and is a predicted model, not a curated record. Lineage: Eukaryota; Metazoa; Arthropoda; Malacostraca; Decapoda; Varunidae.